UGGGGAAUUUUGGACAAUGGGCGAAAGCCUGAUCCAGCAAUGCCGCGUGUGUGAAGAAGGCCUUCGGGUUGUAAAGCACUUUUGUCCGGAAAGAAAUGGCUCUGGUUAAUACCUGGGGUCGAUGACGGUACCGGAAGAAUAAGGACCGGCUAACUACGUGCCAGCAGCCGCGGUAAUACGUAGGGUCCAAGCGUUAAUCGGAAUUACUGGGCGUAAAGCGUGCGCAGGCGGUUGUGCAAGACCGAUGUGAAAUCCCCGAGCUUAACUUGGGAAUUGCAUUGGUGACUGCACGGCUAGAGUGUGUCAGAGGGGGGUAGAAUUCCACGUGUAGCAGUGAAAUGCGUAGAGAUGUGGAGGAAUACCGGUGGCGAAGGCAGCCCCCUGGGAUAACACUGACGCUCAUGCACGAAAGCGUGGGGAGCAAACAGGAUUAGAUACCCUGGUAGUCCACGCCCUAAACGAUGUCAACUAGUUGUUGGGGGAUUCAUUUCCUUAGUAACGUAGCUAACGCGUGAAGUUGACCGCCUGGGGAGUACGGUCGCAAGAUUAAAACUCAAAAGGAAUUGACGGGGUCAUAGCUGUUUCCU
This 587-nucleotide ribosomal RNA is filed under the name uncultured bacterium. RNAcentral's name for it is "partial 16S ribosomal RNA". It matches the Rfam family "Bacterial small subunit ribosomal RNA", at positions 355 to 1375 of the family's 1533-position model. The record is from RNAcentral.